Anoplopoma fimbria (sablefish) is the source of this 300-nucleotide long non-coding RNA. RefSeq lists it as uncharacterized. The transcript has 3 exons. The record is from RefSeq and is a predicted model, not a curated record. Lineage: Eukaryota; Metazoa; Chordata; Actinopteri; Perciformes; Anoplopomatidae.
CUCAAAGAAGCAGGAUUUAAUCUGCAUAAAAGCUCCAGAAAUGACCAAAACACUGGAGUCAGAAGGAAGAAGUUACCUCCAGCAUGACUCCACUCUCCAGAUGUUUUGGAACACAGCUGCAGGGAUUUGCUCCCAUUCAGCCGCAGAAUCCUCAGUGUUGUUGGAUGAUGACGUCCGGCCCACAGUGUUGGAUGGUUGCGGUCAGCGCUUGGUUGAGUUUUUUCUAGGUGCAAGCUCUGAAUUGGAGGACCUUAAAUGGCAGAAACAGACGUCUUUAAUGCCAGACGUAACCAAAGGGCU